GAAUAUGGGGGGACCAUCCUCCAAGGCUAAAUACUCCUGACUGACCGAUAGUGAACCAGUACCGUGAGGGAAAGGCGAAAAGAACCCCGGCGAGGGGAGUGAAAAAGAACCUGAAACCGUGUACGUACAAGCAGUGGGAGCACGCUUAGGCGUGUGACUGCGUACCUUUUGUAUAAUGGGUCAGCGACUUAUAUUCUGUAGCAAGGUUAACCGAAUAGGGGAGCCGAAGGGAAACCGAGUCUUAACUGGGCGUUAAGUUGCAGGGUAUAGACCCGAAACCCGGUGAUCUAGCCAUGGGCAGGUUGAAGGUUGGGUAACACUAACUGGAGGACCGAACCGACUAAUGUUGAAAAAUUAGCGGAUGACUUGUGGCUGGGGGUGAAAGGCCAAUCAAACCGGGAGAUAGCUGGUUCUCCCCGAAAGCUAUUUAGGUAGCGCCUCGUGAAUUCAUCUCCGGGGGUAGAGCACUGUUUCGGCAAGGGGGUCAUCCCGACUUACCAACCCGAUGCAAACUGCGAAUACCGGAGAAUGUUAUCACGGGAGACACACGGCGGGUGCUAACGUCCGUCGUGAAGAGGGAAACAACCCAGACCGCCAGCUAAGGUCCCAAAGUCAUGGUUAAGUGGGAAACGAUGUGGGAAGGCCCAGACAGCCAGGAUGUUGGCUUAGAAGCAGCCAUCAUUUAAAGAAAGCGUAAUAGCUCACUGGUCGAGUCGGCCUGCGCGGAAGAUGUAACGGGGCUAAACCAUGCACCGAAGCUGCGGCAGCGACGCUGAUGCGUUGUUGGGUAGGGGAGCGUUCUGUAAGCCUGCGAAGGUGUGCUGUGAGGCAUGCUGGAGGUAUCAGAAGUGCGAAUGCUGACAUAAGUAACGAUAAAGCGGGUGAAAAGCCCGCUCGCCGGAAGACCAAGGGUUCCUGUCCAACGUUAAUCGGGGCAGGGUGAGUCGACCCCUAAGGCGAGGCCGAAAGGCGUAGUCGAUGGGAAACAGGUUAAUAUUCCUGUACUUGGUGUUACUGCGAAGGGGGGACGGAGAAGGCUAUGUUGGCCGGGCGACGGUUGUCCCGGUUUAAGCGUGUAGGCUGGUUUUCCAGGCAAAUCCGGAAAAUCAAGGCUGAGGCGUGAUGACGAGGCACUGCGGUGCUGAAGCAACAAAUGCCCUGCUUCCAGGAAAAGCCUCUAAGCAUCAGGUAACAUCAAAUCGUACCCCAAACCGACACAGGUGGUCAGGUAGAGAAUACCAAGGCGCUUGAGAGAACUCGGGUGAAGGAACUAGGCAAAAUGGUGCCGUAACUUCGGGAGAAGGCACGCUGAUAUGUAGGUGAAGUCCCUCGCGGAUGGAGCUGAAAUCAGUCGAAGAUACCAGCUGGCUGCAACUGUUUAUUAAAAACACAGCACUGUGCAAACACGAAAGUGGACGUAUACGGUGUGACGCCUGCCCGGUGCCGGAAGGUUAAUUGAUGGGGU
RNAcentral lists this ribosomal RNA (1465 nucleotides) under Escherichia coli. Its description in RNAcentral is "partial 23S ribosomal RNA". It matches the Rfam family "Bacterial large subunit ribosomal RNA", at positions 440 to 1890 of the family's 2925-position model. The record is from RNAcentral. Lineage: Bacteria; Pseudomonadati; Pseudomonadota; Gammaproteobacteria; Enterobacterales; Enterobacteriaceae.